AUGUUCUGCUGCCACCAGGUGCAUGCAGGGUUUGCCAGGUAUAGGCCGUGCGACAGCCGUCACCGGAUCCAAGAAUUGCAAGCUUCUUUCUGCCAGACCGAGCGGACACGAGGAUGUUUGUGCGGCGGUGUGCAUGGCCACACGUGUGCCAUGAACUGCAGCACACAUGGACUUGGCCCCCGUCCUGACGUGUGCCCUCGCCGUGAGCACGUUGCACAGAUGGUUUCGUCUCCAUCUGUCCAAGUGUCAUGUUCCAUGCUGCGAAAUUUGUUUACAGGCGACGUAGAAACAAACAAGAAUCCAGAUCUUUCUAGUGUAUAA
Molecule: ribosomal RNA, 321 nt
Filed under: Triticum aestivum (bread wheat)
Lineage: Eukaryota; Viridiplantae; Streptophyta; Magnoliopsida; Poales; Poaceae
Description: partial small subunit ribosomal RNA
Source: RNAcentral